GAUGAACGCUGGCGGCGUGCCUAAUACAUGCAAGUCGAGCGAACAGACGAGGAGCUUGCUCCUCUAACGUUAGCGGCGGACGGGUGAGUAACACGUGGAUAACCUACCUAUAAGACUGAGAUAACUUCGGGAAACCGGAGCUAAUACCGGAUAAUAUAUUGAACCGCAUGGUUCAAUAGUGAAAGACGGUUUUGCUGUCACUUAUAGAUGGAUCCGCGCCGCAUUAGCUAGUUGGUAAGGUAACAGCUUACCAAGGCAACGAUGCGUAGCCGACCUGAGAGGGUGAUCGGCCACACUGGAACUGAGACACGGUCCAGACUCCUACGGGAGGCAGCAGUAGGGAAUCUUCCGCAAUGGGCGAAAACCUGACGGAGCAACGCCGCGUGAGUGAUGAAGGUCUUCGGAUCGUAAAACUCUGUUAUUAGGGAAGAACAAAUGUGUAAGUAACUAUGCACGUCUUGACGGUACCUAAUCAGAAAGCCACGGCUAACUACGUGCCAGCAGCCGCGGUAA
Molecule: ribosomal RNA, 513 nt
Filed under: uncultured bacterium
Lineage: Bacteria
Description: partial 16S ribosomal RNA
Rfam family: Bacterial small subunit ribosomal RNA
Source: RNAcentral